UGGGGAAUUUUGCACAAUGGGGGAAACCCUGAUGCAGCGACGCCGCGUGAUUUAGAAGGCCUUCGGGUUGUAAAAAUCUUUUCUAUGGGAAGAAAAUGACAGUACCAUAGGAAUAAGGACCGGCUAAUUACGUGCCAGCAGCCGCGGUAAUACGUAAGGUCCGAGCGUUGUCCGGAAUCAUUGGGCGUAAAGGGUACGUAGGCGGGUAAGCAAGUUAGAAGUGAAAUCCUAUAGCUCAACUAUAGUAAUCUUUUAAAACUGCUCAUCUUGAGGUAUGGAAGGGAAAGUGGAAUUCCUAGUGUAGCGGUGAAAUGCGCAGAUAUUAGGAGGAAUACCGGUGGCGAAGGCGACUUUCUGGCCAUAACCUGACGCUGAGGUACGAAAGCGUGGGUAGCAAACAGG
Molecule: ribosomal RNA, 402 nt
Filed under: bacterium
Lineage: Bacteria
Description: partial 16S ribosomal RNA
Rfam family: Bacterial small subunit ribosomal RNA
Source: RNAcentral